This is a small nucleolar RNA of Neopsephotus bourkii (Bourke's parrot), 150 nucleotides long. RefSeq annotates it as small nucleolar RNA snR34. The transcript has a single exon. The record is from RefSeq and is a predicted model, not a curated record. Lineage: Eukaryota; Metazoa; Chordata; Aves; Psittaciformes; Psittacidae.
AAACAAUGAGAUUGAUUUGUAAGCAAGAAUAAUGCCAAAGGAACUAUGGGUGCUGUGAGUGUUUUAAACAGAAUCUGUAAAACUUGUCCUCAGCACUACACAAUGUCUGAACAGACUGGAAAUCUACCUAGGCAAGGAGAGUCUACAGCA